RNAcentral lists this ribosomal RNA (638 nucleotides) under Pseudovibrio sp. Pv280. Its description in RNAcentral is "bacterial SSU rRNA". It matches the Rfam family "Bacterial small subunit ribosomal RNA", at positions 60 to 743 of the family's 1533-position model. The record is from RNAcentral. Lineage: Bacteria; Pseudomonadati; Pseudomonadota; Alphaproteobacteria; Hyphomicrobiales; Stappiaceae.
AGUCGAACGGAUCCUUCGGGAUUAGUGGCAGACGGGUGAGUAACGCGUGGGAAGCUACCUUGUGGUAGGGGACAACAGUUUGAAAAGACUGCUAAUACCCUAUGAGCCCUAUGGGGGAAAGAUUUAUCGCCAUGAGAUGUGCCCGCGUUAGAUUAGCUAGUUGGUAAGGUAAUGGCUUACCAAGGCGACGAUCUAUAGCUGGUCUGAGAGGAUGAUCAGCCACACUGGGACUGAGACACGGCCCAGACUCCUACGGGAGGCAGCAGUGGGGAAUAUUGGACAAUGGGGGCAACCCUGAUCCAGCCAUGCCGCGUGUGUGAUGACGGCCUUAGGGUUGUAAAGCACUUUCAGCAGUGAAGAUAAUGACAUUAACUGCAGAAGAAGCCCCGGCUAACUUCGUGCCAGCAGCCGCGGUAAUACGAAGGGGGCUAGCGUUGUUCGGAAUCACUGGGCGUAAAGAGUACGUAGGCGGACUGAUAAGUUAGGGGUGAAAUCCCAAGGCUCAACCUUGGAACUGCCUUUGAUACUGUCAGUCUUGAGAUCGAGAGAGGUGAGUGGAACUCCGAGUGUAGAGGUGAAAUUCGUAGAUAUUCGGGAAGAACACCAGUGGCGAAGGCGGCUCACUGGCUCGAUACUGA